CGGAGCCUACGGGGGGCAGCAGUAGGGAAUCUUCCACAAUGGACGAAAGUCUGAUGGAGCAACGCCGCGUGAGUGAAGAAGGGUUUCGGCUCGUAAACCUCUGUUGGUAGUGAAGAAAGAUAGAGGUAGUAACUGGCCUUUAUUUGACGGUAAUUACUUAGAAAGUCACGGCUAACUACGUGCCAGCAGCCGCGGUAAUACGUAGGUGGCAAGCGUUGUCCGGGUUUGUUGGGCGUAAA
RNAcentral lists this ribosomal RNA (239 nucleotides) under uncultured bacterium. RNAcentral's name for it is "partial 16S ribosomal RNA". It matches the Rfam family "Bacterial small subunit ribosomal RNA", at positions 332 to 564 of the family's 1533-position model. The record is from RNAcentral.